RNAcentral lists this small nucleolar RNA (216 nucleotides) under Ooceraea biroi (clonal raider ant). Its description in RNAcentral is "small nucleolar RNA U3". It matches the Rfam family "Small nucleolar RNA U3". Rfam says of the family: Small nucleolar RNAs (snoRNAs) are involved in the processing and modification of rRNA in the nucleolus. There are two main classes of snoRNAs: the box C/D class, and the box H/ACA class. Lineage: Eukaryota; Metazoa; Arthropoda; Insecta; Hymenoptera; Formicidae. The record is from RNAcentral.
AAGAUCAUGCUUUACAGGAUCAGUUCUGUAGGUAUUGAUCUCAUUCUCCUUCCCUAACACGGGAGUUGUUGUAACCACCAUGAAGAGAGAUGGCUCUCUUCCCUGAGCGUGAGAACGAUACGAGGUCUCGAUUUUGUUCAAGAUCUCUGUCAUCGAUGAUCGUUCACUCUUUGUAUUCAGUGCGGAGAGGAUGGGAGGUAGGGCUUUCUGAGUGGU